UGACUUCGUGGUAGAGCGCCACGAACGGAAAAUAAAGAAAGCUCGAUUGAA
This 51-nucleotide non-coding RNA is filed under the name unclassified sequences. RNAcentral describes it as "6A RNA". It matches the Rfam family "6A RNA". Rfam says of the family: Actinobacteria (1 example), Firmicutes, Fusobacteria. Terminator (Clostridia) The record is from Rfam by way of RNAcentral.